Molecule: long non-coding RNA, 1421 nt
Filed under: Homo sapiens (human)
Lineage: Eukaryota; Metazoa; Chordata; Mammalia; Primates; Hominidae
Description: MIR9-2 host gene
Rfam family: mir-9/mir-79 microRNA precursor family (bases 790-865)
Source: RNAcentral
AGUACUGUUAAUUAUCCAGCGGCUUGACCCCCAAUCGCAGAGAGAUGCCAGGAAAUCUUCGCGUUGGAAAAGGGAAUUUUUAUGAGACUGCAAAGAAGCAUAAAAUGAAUAGACAAUCCAACCAACCAAAGACCGGGGGCAGCAGCAGGCCAGCAAGACGGCAUCUUCUCCUUCCCAGCCUAGAAGCCCUGUGAAAUCGAGGAUCUUCCCCCUAAAACACAUACACACAAGAUAUGUGCAAUCAAGCUGCCACCGCUUGGUAAAAAGCCAUGGUGCCUAACCAAAAAGGAUCAGGAACAGAUCCUUGAAUCAGCUGUCACUUCUAUAGAAUGGGAUUUUUUUUUCCUUCCUCCUUAACCUGCGCUGGAAAUUGCCGUUGGCUUUAUACAUCUCUAUAGAGAGAGGCUAAAGAGUCUUGCGUGAGAAAGAAGCAAUUUACAAUGCAAAUAGAGGCCUGUGAAGGGACGGAUGCUGCUGCUCACUCGUAACAGCUUGCUGCACCUUAAUAGCUGGUUUUAUUUUCUGAUAUUAAUAGAUGAAUUGUUGGCUAACGCUGCCGGAGAUUACUUGCUGAAAGGAAAAAGAAAAGUUCGGAAUAAACUCUGAAGGCAACAGAUCUCGUUUGGAUGUUUUAGCCGCGCACACACACAAACAGAAACCAGGUCAUAUUUACAUAAAAGGAGGAAUCUUAAGCGCGGCAAGUAUCCUGGACGACCACUCUUCGGUACUGCCAGAAAGGAUCAGGACCUGGAGUCUGGCAAGAGGAAGACAGAGGCCUGUGUGGGAAGCGAGUUGUUAUCUUUGGUUAUCUAGCUGUAUGAGUGUAUUGGUCUUCAUAAAGCUAGAUAACCGAAAGUAAAAACUCCUUCAAGAUCGCCGGGGAGCGUGUGAGAAUGAAAGACUACAGCCGAGAGACAGUAAAAACCAGAAAGGUCAGGAAUACUUAUUGAAUCUAACUUUGUUUUUGUUUUGUUUUUUUCCUUAUGAUUAAAGGUGGGAUGAGAGAAAAUUAAAUGACACACACAUGCUAAAAUAUCAAGGUUCCAGAUAUGUCUUGAGAGGGGUUGUUGCAGCUGCAAAGGAGAAGUGUAUAGUGAUAAUGAGUAAAGAUGCAUGUGCAGUUUGUUCUAUUUUAAGGCAAAAGUUAUAUCAGGGAUUUUUUUCUUAGAAAGGUGUUGCAGAGAUGUCUGGUACCUAGUUUAAAAAUGAUUCCAUAAUAUGUAGACUUGGGCAGUUCCUUUGGGAGGCACCUCCCUCUCAAAAUUUGAAGAUUGUGCUUGGAAAUUACUUUACAUGUAUUUGGGCUGUAUGUCAAUUUGUACGAAAUUAGACUUUCAGAAAAGUUUAUACUGGAAGGUUAAUAAUUUGUAUCUACUGAGGACUUAGAGCUAGCAGGCAAAAUGAAAAAAAAAAAAAAAAAA